Molecule: ribosomal RNA, 468 nt
Filed under: uncultured bacterium
Lineage: Bacteria
Description: partial 16S ribosomal RNA
Rfam family: Bacterial small subunit ribosomal RNA
Source: RNAcentral
GACGAACGCUGGCGGCGUGCUUAACACAUGCAAGUCGAACGGAAAGGCCCUGCUUUUGUGGGGUGCUCGAGUGGCGAACGGGUGAGUAACACGUGAGUAACCUGCCCUUGACUUUGGGAUAGCUUCAGGAAACUGGGGCUAAUACCGGAUAGGAGCUCCUGCUGCAUGGUGGGGGUUGGAAAGUUUCGGCGGUUGGGGAUGGACUCGCGGCUUAUCAGCUUGUUGGUGGGGUAGUGGCUUACCAAGGCUUUGACGGGUAGCCGGCCUGAGAGGGUGACCGGCCACAUUGGGACUGAGAUACGGCCCAGACUCCUACGGGAGGCAGCAGUGGGGAAUAGUGCACAAUGGGCGGAAGCCUGAUGCAGCAACGCCGCGUGCGGGAUGACGGCCUUCGGGUUGUAAACCGCUUUCGCCUGUGACGAAGCGUGAGUGACGGUAAUGGGUAAAGAAGCACCGGCUAACUACGUG